Molecule: ribosomal RNA, 497 nt
Filed under: uncultured bacterium
Lineage: Bacteria
Description: partial 16S ribosomal RNA
Rfam family: Bacterial small subunit ribosomal RNA
Source: RNAcentral
GAUGAACGCUGGCGGCGUGCCUAAUACAUGCAAGUCGAGCGAACAGAUAAGGAGCUUGCUCCUUUGACGUUAGCGGCGGACGGGUGAGUAACACGUGGGUAACCUACCUAUAAGACUGGGAUAACUUCGGGAAACCGGAGCUAAUACCGGAUAAUAUUUCGAACCGCAUGGUUCGAUAGUGAAAGAUGGUUUUGCUAUCACUUAUAGAUGGACCCGCGCCGUAUUAGCUAGUUGGUAAGGUAACGGCUUACCAAGGCGACGAUACGUAGCCGACCUGAGAGGGUGAUCGGCCACACUGGAACUGAGACACGGUCCAGACUCCUACGGGAGGCAGCAGUAGGGAAUCUUCCGCAAUGGGCGAAAGCCUGCCGGAGCAACGCCGCGUGAGUGAUGAAGGUCUUCGGAUCGUAAAACUCUGUUAUUAGGGAAGAACAUACGUGUAAGUAACUGUGCACGUCUUGACGGUACCUAAUCAGAAAGCCACGGCUAACUACGUG